Molecule: long non-coding RNA, 816 nt
Organism: Polistes dominula (European paper wasp)
Lineage: Eukaryota; Metazoa; Arthropoda; Insecta; Hymenoptera; Vespidae
Source: RefSeq, a predicted model, not a curated record
GUCAUACGAGACGCAUCGUCAUAGUUUUUUUUUUUUAUUAAUUAUUAUUAUUAUCGAACAAAUCGUAUACGAAGUUAAAAGAAAAAAAAAACAGUGAAAUUCCAUGCUAUUUUCUAAUAAACAAAAAAACAAAUAAAAUCAACAAAUGAAUUUGAUGAAUAAAAUCGGACGAUUCAUUUCGAUCAGCUAUUACGCGUAACGUGAUGACGAUGACCUUGAUCCUCGUAACGUACGAGAUCUUUACGUGAAUAUAUUAACAUCAGUGAAUGUGGUGAGAAGAAGAAAUAUUAUCAUCGGACUUGUUGGCUGAUAACACACCGAAGAAAGAUAACACGUGUUCAAUUGACAUAAGAAAUCUAACGAUGAUGAUUAUGAUGAUGAUGAUGAUGAUGAUGAUAAUUAUGAUGAUAUCAUACGUUAAUGUGAAUUUACCACGUACUAAUUGGAUUACAACGAUUUAUUAUAGAAGAGGAAUAAUUCCAAGUGUUUUUUAAUUUUCUUUUGAAAAUUCAAUCAGUCGAUGGAUCAUCAAUUUAAACAAACGAAAAAUAUCAUACAAUACUAUUAUUAUUAAUAAUAUUAAUAAUAAUAAUAAUAACAAUAAUACAAGUGAUAUGAUAAAAUUGAUAAUAAUGAUCGUUCGAAUGAUAUGACCGAUAGAAUGACGUAGGGUUGUGUGGGGUUGGGGUACUUUUUUGACGUACGCCACAAUACAAAAAAAAAAACAACCUUUUUCUAAGGUUUAAAGGACUUUAAUCAAAAUUUGGAAAAAAAUAUCAGACAAAUAAUACAAAAAAAAAUAUCAGACAAAUAUUA